Molecule: unclassified non-coding RNA, 411 nt
Filed under: Prostanthera gilesii
Lineage: Eukaryota; Viridiplantae; Streptophyta; Magnoliopsida; Lamiales; Lamiaceae
Description: partial external transcribed spacer
Source: RNAcentral
ACCAGGUAGCAUUCCUCACCGACGUCGAUCGGCUUGCUGCAAUCCGUAAGGAAUCCACCACAACCGAUUCGAACGUCGUUCGCACGUAGCGUUGAACGCUUUGUUCCGAGGGGCAAAUAGAGAUCGAGGCCUCAUGCCCACAACAUGUUCCGCAUCCGAGAUUUCGAGCAUUACGCCCUGGGUGGGAAACACGAGCGUAUGCACACACACACACACGAGAGUGCCAACCACGACGCAUGCUAUGAGUUCCAAUCCGCACCACAACACCGAUAGGCGAAGCAGAGCAAAAUGAAAAAAAGUACAAUUUAUCUAUCGUAAUGCCUCAAAGAUAGGUAUCGAGCACAGGAGGCCACAAUCGGACGGGCUCGGAAGCCCUUGUGCCGAUGAUUGAAGAGGCGCGGUUGGGAUGUC